AUGGUUCGCAACCCAGCUCCAAGUUUAAGUGGUCAGGGUCUGGAGUCCAUUCCCUCCACUCCAGUGCUGAAAAACCCUCAGGAAGCCCUCAGUCUGUCCUGUAGAGGAUCUGGUUUCACUUUUGGCACCUUUGGAAUGCACUGGAUCAGGCAGCCUGCAGGAAAAGCACUAGAAUGGAUUGGGACUAUUUGGAAUGAUGCAAGUAGAACUGCUUAUGUCAGCAGUGUGGAAGGACGUAUAGAAAUCACCAGAGACAACAGCAACAGCAUGGUGUAUCUGAGACUUUCUAACCUAAAGCCAGAGGACUCUGCUGUGUAUUACUGUGCCAAAAAUGCACAGUGGUUUAAGUAA
Molecule: non-coding RNA, 351 nt
Organism: Archocentrus centrarchus (flier cichlid)
Lineage: Eukaryota; Metazoa; Chordata; Actinopteri; Cichliformes; Cichlidae
Source: the annotation of a RefSeq genome assembly